Molecule: transfer RNA, 75 nt
Filed under: Pseudoalteromonas sp. NCCP-2140
Lineage: Bacteria; Pseudomonadati; Pseudomonadota; Gammaproteobacteria; Alteromonadales; Pseudoalteromonadaceae
Description: tRNA-Glu
Rfam family: tRNA
About the family: Transfer RNA (tRNA) molecules are approximately 80 nucleotides in length. Their secondary structure includes four short double-helical elements and three loops (D, anti-codon, and T loops). Further hydrogen bonds mediate the characteristic L-shaped molecular structure. tRNAs have two regions of fundamental functional importance: the anti-codon, which is responsible for specific mRNA codon recognition, and the 3' end, to which the tRNAs corresponding amino acid is attached (by aminoacyl-tRNA synthetases). tRNAs cope with the degeneracy of the genetic code in two manners: having more than one tRNA (with a specific anti-codon) for a particular amino acid; and 'wobble' base-pairing, i.e. permitting non-standard base-pairing at the 3rd anti-codon position.
Source: RNAcentral
UGUCCCCAUCGUCUAGAGGCCUAGGACACCGCCCUUUCACGGCGGUAACAGGGGUUCGAAUCCCCUUGGGGACGN